GAUGAGAACGCAGCGAAAUGCGAUACGUAAUGUGAAUUGCAGAAUUCAGUGAAUCAUCGAGUCUUUGAACGCACAUUGCGCCCCCUGGUAUUCCGGGGGGCAUGCCUGUCCGAGCGUCAUUGCUGCCCUCAAGCACGGCUUGUGUGUUGGGCCUCCGUCCUCCUCCCGGGGGACGGGCCCGAAAGGCAGCGGCGGCACCGCGUCCGGUCCUCGAGCGUAUGGGGCUUCGUCACCCGCUCUUGUAGGCCCGGCCGGCGCUUGCCGACACAUCAAUCUUUUUUCCAGGUUGACCUCGGAUCAGGUAGGGAUACCCGCUGAACUUAAGCAUAUCAAUAAGCGGAGGA
This 344-nucleotide unclassified non-coding RNA is filed under the name soil metagenome. Its description in RNAcentral is "partial contains 5.8S ribosomal RNA, internal transcribed spacer 2, and large subunit ribosomal RNA". The stretch from base 5 to 119 matches the Rfam family "5.8S ribosomal RNA", at positions 40 to 154 of the family's 154-position model. The record is from RNAcentral.